RNAcentral lists this ribosomal RNA (467 nucleotides) under uncultured bacterium. RNAcentral's name for it is "partial 16S ribosomal RNA". It matches the Rfam family "Bacterial small subunit ribosomal RNA", at positions 28 to 506 of the family's 1533-position model. The record is from RNAcentral.
GACGAACGCUGGCGGCGUGCUUAACACAUGCAAGUCGAACGGAAAGGCCCUGCUUUUGUGGGGUGCUCGAGUGGCGAACGGGUGAGUAACACGUGAGUAACCUGCCCUUGACUUUGGGAUAACUUCAGGAAACUGGGGCUAAUACCGGAUAGGAGCUCCUGCUGCAUGGUGGGGGUUGGAAAGUUUCGGCGGUUGGGGAUGGACUCGCGGCUUAUCAGCUUGUUGGUGGGGUAGUGGCUUACCAAGGCUUUGACGGGUAGCCGGCCUGAGAGGGUGACCGGCCACAUUGGGACUGGGAUACGGCCCAGACUCCUACGGGAGGCAGCAGUGGGGAAUAUUGCACAAUGGGCGGAAGCCUGAUGCAGCAACGCCGCGUGCGGGAUGACGGCCUUCGGGUUGUAAACCGCUUUCGCCUGUGACGAAGCGUGGGUGACGGUAAUGGGUAAAGAAGCACCGGCUAACUACGU